CAAGUUCAUACAAAGCCAUGACACACCCGCAUAACAAUUGAGCCGCUAGCACUUAGCGACAAACACACACAAAGCCUAUCAUGCUUCAUCACUUGGGGGCAAAAGCGACAAAGCAGCUUCAACUUUCCAUGACGGACCAUUACUCAAAGCCACCAAAGAAAACGCCACCUACGCAUAACUGUCUCCAACAGACGGAAGGCAAACACGAGAGCCAUUCCAGGCUUUGGGUGGCGCACAGUGAAAUGGAUAACACCCCAAAUCUCUCCUUCUCCAACAGCUACCGCAAGCAGAACACCCAAACCCGCGCGCCGUACCAGCCGCUCGCAGCGGGCACGCCGCGCGCUACCUGCUCCGCCGCUCCCGCCGCCGCCGCGCCGGCUCCAGUGACCAUCAUCAGGGCAACAGCAGCGGCAGCAGCGUACGCGUGUCGGUGGAGGACCCGGAGAAGCCGCCCGUGGAGCUGGAAGCGCCCCCGCCACCGCCGUCCGCGUCAUGCCGGUCAUGGAGGAGCGGAUCCUGCCGGAGCAGGGGCCCGCGCCACGCGUCGGUGGUGGCCAGGGCGCCGCCUCGCGCCGUUGGUGGAUGGAGCUCGGAGCCGGGGCCGCCUGGAGCGCCGCUCGCCGUCCCGCCUGGAGCACCGCCCGGCUGGAUCUCGCCGUCCACUGAAAAUUGUAGUGAAGGUGGACUAUUCUUUUUUGGCGAAUAAUGCUGGGCUAGUUUUCUACUACUAGUAAAUAUCAACCGGGGAAAUAUACCGGCUGUAUAAUUGCUGGAAUCCUUUUUUGUACCAACGAAAAGGAUUCCACCAAUUAUACCAGCCCACCUUGGAGAACAUCCUGAACAUCGAAAAGAUCAAAAGCACUACAAAGACACCCAGCAAGGUUCAGCUCUCUUCCAGGAAAAAAUUCCCAUCAUUGUCACGAAGCCUUCAAGUGAAGUACUCACACUGCUAGAAAAAGCCACAUUCGUCCGCGGCCCACUAAUAUAAGGCAGCCAGACUUUACCAAAGAAUAUGAGAAGCAGAAGGCCUUCUGGGACGAGUUCAAGGCAUACAAGCUAUCAGAGGAGGCUAAGGCAUUGAGCGCUAAGAAUAAAGGGAACUCGGACAAGAACAGAAAUCCACAUCGUCUAGGCUCACGUGGCUACAUUCACCAGUUGCCUAAAUGGGACGCGCGACUUGCAGAAUUGGCAAAGGACGGUGUGACUCCCGUUACCAGCGAUUGGCAGCUCAGAGCGGUACAAUUCCUGCUGGCUAGAGGGGCAAAGUUCCAAGAUGAUGGUACACUUUCUGUACCAAAUACGGACGUGGGCCAAGGGGUGGGAACUAAACAUCCGAAUUUUCGAACAAAUUUGAUAUUUUAAAAUAGAUAUGCUUGAAAUUUUAUGCUAAUUUUUUUUUAUAUUAUCAAACAUAUUAUUACACAUAAGAAUAAAAUUUUGUAUAGAUUUUUUUAUGCA
Long non-coding RNA from Panicum virgatum (switchgrass), 1458 nucleotides. RefSeq lists it as uncharacterized. The record is from RefSeq and is a predicted model, not a curated record. The transcript has 2 exons. NCBI's taxonomy places the organism in Eukaryota, Viridiplantae, Streptophyta, Magnoliopsida, Poales, Poaceae.